Molecule: ribosomal RNA, 465 nt
Filed under: uncultured bacterium
Lineage: Bacteria
Description: bacterial SSU rRNA
Rfam family: Bacterial small subunit ribosomal RNA
Source: RNAcentral
GACGUCUACGAGUUUGAUCCUGGCUCAGAACGAACGCUGGCGGCAGGCCUAAUACAUGCAAGUCGAACGAUCCUUCGGGAUAGUGGCGCACGGGUGAGUAACACGUGGGAACAUACCCUUGGGUGCGGAACAACGUCGGGAAACUGACGCUAAUACCGCAUAAUGACUCCGGUCCAAAGAUUUAUCGCCCAAGGAUUGGCCCGCGCUAGAUUAGGUUGUUGGUGAGGUAACGGCUCACCAAGCCUACGAUCUAUAGCUGGUCUGAGAGGAUGAUCAGCCACACUGGGACUGAGACACGGCCCAGACUCCUACGGGAGGCAGCAGUAAGGAAUAUUGGACAAUGGGGGCGAACCCUCGAUCCAGCCAUGCCGCGUGAGUGAAGAAGGCCUUAGGGUUGGUAAAGCUCUUUCUAGGUGCGAAGAUAAUGACUGUAACACCAGAAGAAGCCCCGGCCUAAAUUACGUG